This is a long non-coding RNA of Rhododendron vialii, 961 nucleotides long. RefSeq lists it as uncharacterized. The record is from RefSeq and is a predicted model, not a curated record. The transcript is spliced from 2 exons. NCBI's taxonomy places the organism in Eukaryota, Viridiplantae, Streptophyta, Magnoliopsida, Ericales, Ericaceae.
CAAAAAUACGACGACAAUGUCGGAAUGGAGAGUCCAUGGAAUCAAAAGUGAUAAUCUUGUUCCCGCAGCAAUAGGCCAGAUCAGGAUUGGAAUAUAAGUGCUGAAUCAGCUGCACACACUUUCACCGUCGCCGUCGGAGAGCUUGAAAAACCAUCGCCGAGCGGAUCAGAGUCACAAGCCAAUACCCAAAUAUUGUCUCCGUAGCCCAAAAAUGGAGAGAGAAGGAGAUCUUCCGCAACAAUCUCUCAUCCACGGCAGUAGGAGAUGAACCAAGAGGGAAGGAGAGGAGAAAGAGAGGCCGGAGAGGAGGGGGGAGCGGGAGGAGGAAGGAAUAGAUUAGAGGAGGGAAAGAAAGGGAAGGGGGUGGGGCUCGAGACGGGGAGCCCCUCCAUGACAGUUUUUUGUUUGAUAACUAAGGUGUUGAGAUUAGUUUACCCACAUCUCGACUAAUCCUGAUGUACAAUCCCACAUCUCACUAACAAGUGUUCCAAAUCAAAACCAGAACAAAACUCUAUACAGAUUGACUUCAAAAGAAUUGAAUCGAAUCUCGCUGUUAAGGAGUAUCAUUACGGGGCAACUGAUUCAGUAAACAGAUUCACGAAGCACAUUCUGAAAGAGCGGCUUUCUCCACCUAACAUAUCCAACUCUACAGUUCAUAGAGCCAUCCAUUAAAAACCAACCCCCAAAUUGGAAGUGCAAAAUAAGCAUAUACGAAAAACUUUAAGAUCAACAAAACUGUAUCUUUCCUACCUCAAAUUGCGGUUAGUUUUUAGCUUUGAAAAAAAAGGCUCAGUUUUCUGUCUCUCCAAGAAAAUGAAAUGCCGUAAGUUUUUUCUUUUUUCGCAAGCUACAACAGAGGGCAAGAUUUUCCUGGCCUAACUUCCAAACUACUUCACUUCUAGGGUUCUUCAAGAUCUCCACAUGCCUAAUACGAAUCCGAGAAUCUAAGCAUCCUCACAGU